AUUGAACGCUGGCGGCAGGCCUAACACAUGCAAGUCGAGCGGCAGCGGGAAAGUAGCUUGCUACUUUUGCCGGCGAGCGGCGGACGGGUGAGUAAUGCCUGGGAAAUUGCCCAGUCGAGGGGGAUAACAGUUGGAAACGACUGCUAAUACCGCAUACGCCCUACGGGGGGGGAAAGCAGGGGACCUUCGGGCCUUGCGCGAUUGGAUAUGCCCAGGUGGGAUUAGCUAGUUGGUGAGGUAAUGGCUCACCAAGGCGACGAUCCCUAGCUGGUCUGAGAGGAUGAUCAGCCACACUGGAACUGAGACACGGUCCAGACUCCUACGGGAGGCAGCAGUGGGGAAUAUUGCACAAUGGGGGAAACCCUGAUGCAGCCAUGCCGCGUGUGUGAAGAAGGCCUUCGGGUUGUAAAGCACUUUCAGCGAGGAGGAAAGGUUGUUGGCUAAUACCCAACAGCUGUGACGUUACUCGCAGAAGAAGCACCGGCUAACUCCGUG
RNAcentral lists this ribosomal RNA (495 nucleotides) under uncultured bacterium. Its description in RNAcentral is "bacterial SSU rRNA". It matches the Rfam family "Bacterial small subunit ribosomal RNA", at positions 30 to 507 of the family's 1533-position model. The record is from RNAcentral.